GGAGUUUUCAAUUCGAAAGGUUACAAGAGA
RNAcentral lists this non-coding RNA (30 nucleotides) under Rattus norvegicus (Norway rat). The record is from RNAcentral. Lineage: Eukaryota; Metazoa; Chordata; Mammalia; Rodentia; Muridae.